RNAcentral lists this ribosomal RNA (742 nucleotides) under uncultured bacterium. RNAcentral's name for it is "bacterial SSU rRNA". It matches the Rfam family "Bacterial small subunit ribosomal RNA", at positions 8 to 796 of the family's 1533-position model. The record is from RNAcentral.
AGAGUUUGAUCAUGGCUCAGAGCGAACGCUGGCGGCAGGCCUAACACAUGCAAGUCGAGCGCCGUAGCAAUACGGAGCGGCAGACGGGAGAGUAACACGUGGGAACGUGCCCUUCAGUUCGGAACAACCCAGGGAAACUUGGGCUAAUACCGGAUACGUCCGAAAGGAGAAAGAUUUAUCGCUGAAGGAUCGGCCCGCGUCUGAUUAGCUAGUUGGUGAGGUAACGGCUCACCAAGGCGACGAUCAGUAGCUGGUCUGAGAGGAUGAUCAGCCUCACUGGGACUGAGACACGGCCCAGACUCCUACGGAAGGCAGCAGUGGGGAAUAUUGGACAAUGGGCGCAAGCCUGAUCCAGCCAUGCCGCGUGGAUGAUGAAGGCCCUAGGGUUGUAAAGUCCUUUCGGCGGGGAAGAUAAUGACGGUACCCGCAGAAGAAGCCCCGGCUAACUUCGUGCCAGCAGCCGCGGUAAUACGAAGGGGGCUAGCGUUGCUCGGAAUCACUGGGCGUAAAGCGCACGUAGGCGGCUUUUUAAGUCAGGGGUGAAAUCCUGGAGCUCAACUCCAGAACUGCCUUUGAUACUGAGAAGCUUGAGUCCGGGAGAGGUGAGUGGAACUGCGAGUGUAGAGGUGAAAUUCGUAGAUAUUCGCAAGAACACCAGUGGCGAAGGCGGCUCACUGGCCCGGUACUGACGCUGAGGUGCGAAAGCGUGGGGAGCAAACAGGAUUAGAUACCCCCGUAGUCC